UACAGAGGUGGCAAGCGUUGUUCGGAAUUACUGGGCGGAAAGGGCGCGUAGGCGGCCUACUAAGUCAGACGUGAAAUCCCCCGGCUUAACCUGGGAACUGCGUCUGAUACUGGAAGGCUUGAGUAUGGGAGAGGGGUGUAGAAUUCCAGGUGUAGCGGUGAAAUGCGUAGAUAUCUGGAGGAAUACCGGUGGCGAAGGCGGCAUCCUGGACCAUUACUGACGCUGAGGCGCGAAAGCUAGGGGAGCAAACGGG
Molecule: ribosomal RNA, 253 nt
Filed under: uncultured bacterium
Lineage: Bacteria
Description: partial 16S ribosomal RNA
Rfam family: Bacterial small subunit ribosomal RNA
Source: RNAcentral